This 64-nucleotide transfer RNA is filed under the name Ephemerella sp. Yunnan-2018. RNAcentral describes it as "tRNA-Met". The record is from RNAcentral. Lineage: Eukaryota; Metazoa; Arthropoda; Insecta; Ephemeroptera; Ephemerellidae.
AGAAAGAUAAGCUAAAUAAGCUCAUAGGUUCAUACCCUAUUUAUGGAAUUCAUUCCUCUUUUUA